This 72-nucleotide transfer RNA is filed under the name Sus scrofa (pig). It matches the Rfam family "tRNA". From Rfam's summary of the family: Transfer RNA (tRNA) molecules are approximately 80 nucleotides in length. Their secondary structure includes four short double-helical elements and three loops (D, anti-codon, and T loops). Further hydrogen bonds mediate the characteristic L-shaped molecular structure. tRNAs have two regions of fundamental functional importance: the anti-codon, which is responsible for specific mRNA codon recognition, and the 3' end, to which the tRNAs corresponding amino acid is attached (by aminoacyl-tRNA synthetases). tRNAs cope with the degeneracy of the genetic code in two manners: having more than one tRNA (with a specific anti-codon) for a particular amino acid; and 'wobble' base-pairing, i.e. permitting non-standard base-pairing at the 3rd anti-codon position. Lineage: Eukaryota; Metazoa; Chordata; Mammalia; Artiodactyla; Suidae. The record is from Rfam by way of RNAcentral.
UCCCCGGUGGUCUAGUGGUUAGGAUUUGGCACUUUCACUGCUGCGGCCUGGGUUCAAUCCCUGGUUUGGGAA